This 301-nucleotide ribosomal RNA is filed under the name uncultured bacterium. Its description in RNAcentral is "partial 16S ribosomal RNA". It matches the Rfam family "Bacterial small subunit ribosomal RNA", at positions 509 to 808 of the family's 1533-position model. The record is from RNAcentral.
CAGCAGCCGCGGUAAAACGAAGGGUGCAAGCGUUAAUCGGAAUUACUGGGCGUAAAGCGUGCGUAGGCGGUUUGUUAAGUCUGCUGUGAAAUCCCCGGGCUCAACCUGGGAAUGGCAGUGGAUACUGGCAAGCUAGAGUGUGUCAGAGGAUGGUGGAAUUCCCGGUGUAGCGGUGAAAUGCGUAGAGAUCGGGAGGAACAUCAGUGGCGAAGGCGGCCAUCUGGGACAACACUGACGCUGAGGCACGAAAGCGUGGGGAGCAAACAGGAUUAGAUACCCGGUAGUCCCUGUCUCUUAUACC